UAUCUCUUUGUCUCUUAUCUUUAGACUUAGUCUCUUUUGGACUUAGUUUGGCUAUUUUCGGGGGCUUGUCCCGACAUAUACUUUUUUUGAAAUCAGUUUUGUAUAGAGGAGUGUGAAUGGCUGUGGGCUUGGGUAUAUUGUUUAGUUUGAUGAACCUAAUGAAAUGUAUAGACAUAUCUUAGCUAUGACUUUUGUCAUUGAUGUUUCCGC
RNAcentral lists this long non-coding RNA (210 nucleotides) under Capsicum annuum. RNAcentral describes it as "long non-coding RNA (CANN_LNC017323)". The record is from RNAcentral. Lineage: Eukaryota; Viridiplantae; Streptophyta; Magnoliopsida; Solanales; Solanaceae.